This 1216-nucleotide long non-coding RNA is filed under the name Homo sapiens (human). Its description in RNAcentral is "JPX transcript, XIST activator". The stretch from base 1 to 128 matches the Rfam family "JPX transcript, XIST activator conserved region 1". Lineage: Eukaryota; Metazoa; Chordata; Mammalia; Primates; Hominidae. The record is from RNAcentral.
AGUGGAAGACUUAAGAUGGCGGCGUUUGCACGGAGUGCAAUCACUGCGUCCUUACGGGGGUUGCAAGGCGUCCGAAGUAUGAGUCCACUAACAAAAGUCCAGAAACUCGCCAGUUAAUAGUAUUGUGUCUCUUCAAAAUAUCGGAGAAUAAUUUCUUUCUCGCUGAUCGCCUAACUUCUACUGACGAAGCUUGGAAGUUGCAGAAGAUGGAGUUCGCUCUUGUUGCCCAGGCUGGAAUGCAAUGGCAUGACCUUGGCUCACUGCAACCUCUGCCUCCCCAGUUCAAGUGGUUCUCCUGCCUCAGCCUCCCGAGUAGCUGAGAUUACAGAAAUCAACACAUUGAGUCAAGAAAAAUGAAACACAGAAACACUCUAAAUAAAAGAAGAUAAGUCUUCAGAAACCAACCCUAAUGAAAUGAAGAUAUGUGAUUAACCUGACAGGAAAUUAAAAAGAGCAACCAUAAAGAGUCUCAUGGGAGCAAUGCAUGAACAAACUGAGAAUUUUCAUAAAGAAAUAAAAGAUAACAAAAAGUAUAAAGUUGAAGAAUACAAUAACUGGACUCAAAAAUUUAAUGUGUCCAACAGAAGAAUCGAUGAAGCAGAAGAAAGGGCUAUCAAACUUGUAGAUAGGCCAUUGGAAAUCAUGUAAUGUGAGGAGAAAAAAGAAAAAAGAUUGAAGAUAGUUUAAGAGACUUUUGAGACAUCCUCAAAGGGGAAUAAUUUAUACAUUACCAGAUGGAGAAGAUAGAGGGAAAAGGACAGAAAACAUAUUUGAAGAAAUAAUGUCAGAAAACCUCAUAAUUCUGGCAAGGAAAUAGAAAUUUAGAUCUAAGAAUCUCGAACAUCAGGUAUGAUGAAUCCAAGGAGACUCACACCAAACCAUAUUGUAAUUAAAUAAAGGUUAAAGACAAUCUUCAGAGCAGCAAGGGAAUAGUCUCUUCUUACAUACAAAAUGAUCCACGGAAGACUGUCAGCAGACUUCACCAGAAAACUUUCACGCCAGAAGGCAGUCGUGAUAUAUACAAAAAGCUGAAAGGAAAACACUGCCAUCCAGGAAUACUAUCUCCAACUAUCCUGUGUUUCAAAAAUUAAGGAGAAAUAUAAAGUUCUCAAACAAAAGAUGUGGGAGUUUACCACCACUAGACCUGCACGGGAAGAAUUGCUAAAGGGAGUCCUUCAAGCUGUAGUAAAAGAGUGCUAAUUAGAAACAUGAAAAC